GAUGAACGCUGGCGGCGUGCCUAAUACAUGCAAGUCGAGCGAACAGACGAGGAGCUUGCUCCUCUGACGUUAGCGGCGGACGGGUGAGUAACACGUGGAUAACCUACCUAUAAGACUGGGAUAACUUCGGGAAACCGGAGCUAAUACCGGAUAAUAUAUUGAACCGCAGGGUUCAAUAGUGAAAGACGGUUUUGCUGUCACUAAUAGAUGGAUCCGCGCCGCAUUAGCUAGUUGGUAAGGUAACGGCUUACCAAGGCUACGAUGCGUAGCCGAGCUGAGAGGGUGAUCGGCCACACUGGAACUUAGACACGGUCCAGACUCCUAAGGGAGGCAGCAGUAGGGAAUGUUCCGCAAUGGGCGAAAGCCUGACGGAGCAACGCCGCGUGAGUGAUGAAGGUCUUCGGAUCGUAAAGCUCUGUUAUUAGGGAAGAACAAAUGUGUAAGUAACUAUGCACGUCUUGACGGUACCUAAUCAGAAAGCCACGGCUAACUACGUG
This 497-nucleotide ribosomal RNA is filed under the name uncultured bacterium. RNAcentral's name for it is "partial 16S ribosomal RNA". It matches the Rfam family "Bacterial small subunit ribosomal RNA", at positions 28 to 507 of the family's 1533-position model. The record is from RNAcentral.